RNAcentral lists this ribosomal RNA (1933 nucleotides) under Prevotella sp. RNAcentral describes it as "partial 23S ribosomal RNA". It matches the Rfam family "Bacterial large subunit ribosomal RNA", at positions 1 to 1939 of the family's 2925-position model. Lineage: Bacteria; Pseudomonadati; Bacteroidota; Bacteroidia; Bacteroidales; Prevotellaceae. The record is from RNAcentral.
GACGAAGUAGAAAAGGGCGCAAGGUGGAUGCCUUGGCUCACAGAGGCGAUGAAGGACGUGAUAAGCUGCGAUAAGCCCGGGGUAGGUGCAAAUAACCCUUGAUCCCGGGAUUUCCGAAUGGGACAACCUGUAUGUAUGAAGUACAUACAUCCUUGACCAAGUCGAGGAGGCUAACGCGGGGAACUGAAACAUCUUAGUACCCGCAGGAAGAGAAAACAACAGUGAUUCCCCCAGUAGUGGCGAGCGAACGGGGAAGAGCCCAAACCGUGUGUGUGGCGACGCACAUACGGGGUAGUAGGACCGCGCCGUGGCACGGUGAUCGCGAGGGGAACUGCCUGGAAAGACAGACCAUAGAGGAUGACAGUUCCGUACCCGAAGCGUAAUCCGGCCUAGCGGUAUCCUGAGUAACGCGGGACACGAGAAAUCCUGCGCGAAUCCGCCGGGACCAUCCGGUAAGGCUAAAUACUCCUGUGAGACCGAUAGCGUACCAGUACCGUGAGGGAAAGGUGAAAAGCACUUCGACAAGAAGAGUGAAACAGUACCUGAAACCUUGCGCCUACAAGCGGUCGGAGCCUGCUUAGCAGGUGACGGCGUGCCUUUUGCAUAAUGAACCUACGAGUUGCCAUCUCUGGCGAGGUUAAGGCGCUCAGCGCCCGAGCCGCAGUGAAAGCGAGCCUGAACAGGGCGUAUAGUCAGAGGGGGCAGACGCGAAACCAAGUGAUCUACACUUGGCCAGGGUGAAGUUCCGGUAACACGGAAUGGAGGCCCGAACCAAUAAGCGUUGAAAAGCUUCUGGAUGAGCCGAGUGUAGGAGUGAAAGGCCAAUCAAACUUGGAGAUAGCUCGUACUCCCCGAAAGGCAUUUAGGUGCCGCGUGCAGAGAUUACCAUGAGAGGUAGAGCGACCGAUAGGAUGCGAGGGCUUCACCGCCUAUCAAGUCCUGACGAACUCCGAAUGCUCAUGGUCCGCAUCUGUGCAGUAAGGGGGCGGGUGCUAAGGUCCGUCCCCGAGAGGAGAAGAAUCCGGACUGCCGUCUAAGGCCCCGAAAUUCUGUCUAAGUUAGUCUAACGAAGUGUGGUUCCCGUGACAGCUAGGAUGUUGGCUUGGAAGCAGCCAUUCAUUCAAAGAGUGCGUAACAGCUCACUAGUCGAGGGACCGUGCAUGGAUAAUAAUCGGGUAUUAAGACAGAUGCCGAAGACGCAGGAUAGUAUUAGAGAAAGUAUCGGUAGGGGAGCAUUCCAUAUGCGUUGAAUGGUGCGGAUGACCUAUCCUGGAGCGUAUGGAAAAGCAAAUGUAGGUAUAAGUAACGACAAGGAGGGUGAGAUUCCCUCCCGCCGCAAGACCAAGGUUUCCCGGGCAAUGCCAAUCACCCCGGGGUCAGUCGGGUCCUAAGCCUCAGCCGAACGGCGAGGGCGAUGGCAGAAACGGUUAAUAUUCCGUUACUACCCUUGUGAGCGAUGUGGAGACGGAGGUGUGACACCACCGCGGGGCGACGGAAGUCCCCGUUAAAGAGUGUAGGUUAUGAGGAGGGCAGGCAAAUCCACCCUCUGAGCCGAACUUGACAGUACGGAGUUCCCUUCGGGGAACACUGAUAGUGUGGGUAAUCAGACUCCCGAGAAAAUCCGCUAAGCAUAUCAUGAGUGGUACCCGUACCGCAAACGGACACACGUGGUCGUGUAGAACAUACUGAGGCGUUGGACGAUUCAUGGUUAAGGAAUUAGGCAAAUUGACCCCGUAACUUCGGGAUAAGGGGUCCUCGUGAGAGCGAGGCGCAGAGAAUAGGUCCAGGCAACUGUUUAACAAAAACACAGGGCUGUGCAAACUCGAAAGAUGAGGUAUACAGCCUGACACCUGCCCGGUGCCGGAAGGUUAAGAGGAGACGUCAGCCUUUAGGUGAAGCGUUGAAUUGAAGCCCCGGUAAACGGCGGCCGUAA